Molecule: long non-coding RNA, 549 nt
Filed under: Polistes fuscatus (common paper wasp)
Lineage: Eukaryota; Metazoa; Arthropoda; Insecta; Hymenoptera; Vespidae
Description: uncharacterized LOC122514800, transcript variant X3
Source: RNAcentral
AUUCGUUUUUCGACCACGGUGCAGUACACUUACUUUUUUUAAAAUGAAAACAACAUUCGAUGACGAUGCAGUUCGAUUAGGAAGGGGGCAAAAAGAAAAACAAGGAAGAUGGCCGAGCAGAAGGGAGAGGAAGGGAAUGAGGGAAAUUGAGUGGGGGUGGAUAGAUCGAAGGGGACAGGCGAGGUGAGAGGGGGAGUUGAUUAGAUUUACCACCACCGGACUACGACGAGAUGUAAUAGAAACGUUGCCCUCCGAACUGUGGGUGGUGGUGGUGGUUUGUUUCCUCGGCAAUGAGUUCAACGUUUAUUACGCAACCACAAUGAACGAUAGUACUCGUAUCCCUCUCCCCCUCUUUCCACCCAACAUCCCCCCACCCUACAAAGGAUUCGCACAAUAUGGGAAUCGAACUACCCCACAGGAAGAAAUCGAGAGUGUAGAAAAUAUACGUACGUGUCUUGAUAUGUGUGAGUAAGUGUGCGUGUGUUUGGAGUGUGUGCAUAUGAGAGAGAAUAGACCAGAGAAAUAGUUAGAAUUGCAUGGGGGGAAAAA